UACAUCUGUUCCCCAUUUUGGUUUCUUUAGUGAAGGUGAAAGAGGAUAAGUUUUUGGAGAUUUGGAAAAUCCAAUCUUCAAUAGGAAAGUUUGAGGUCAAAGUUGAGAGACACUCAGCAAAUAACUACAAUUUCACUGACUUGUAAUAGGAAAAAGCAAAGCAAAGCAGCAUACUUUUUGGUGAAGACUAAGAACACUGACUCAGUCUGUCAUCCAUGCCUUCUUUCAACACUAGAAAAUAUGGACCUCACCCACCAUAACUCGCUAAUAUAGACUCUGGAAUUCCCAGCUAAAUUACUCGGCAAUUACGGCUGUGAUGGCGUAGGAGACGUCGGAGGCCUGAAAUCUGGAUAAGAAGGAUAUGGAGAAAGCGG
Molecule: unclassified non-coding RNA, 374 nt
Filed under: Hevea brasiliensis (rubber tree)
Lineage: Eukaryota; Viridiplantae; Streptophyta; Magnoliopsida; Malpighiales; Euphorbiaceae
Source: RNAcentral